RNAcentral lists this ribosomal RNA (254 nucleotides) under uncultured bacterium. Its description in RNAcentral is "partial 16S ribosomal RNA". It matches the Rfam family "Bacterial small subunit ribosomal RNA", at positions 524 to 776 of the family's 1533-position model. The record is from RNAcentral.
UACGGAGGGUGCGGGCGUUGUCCGGAAUCAUUGGGCGUAAAGGGCGCGUAGGUGGCCCGGUCAGUCUUUGGUGAAAGCGCGGGGCUCAACCCUGCGUCGGCCAGGGAUACUGCCGCGGCUCGAGCACUGUAGAGGCAGGCGGAAUUCCGGGUGUAGCGGUGGAAUGCGUAGAUAUCGGGAGGAACACCAGUGGCGAAGGCGACUACCUGGCCUGUUCUUGACGCUGAGGCGCGAAAGCUAGGGGAGCAAACGGG